UGGUGAUCAGAGGACUCAGGCUUU
This 24-nucleotide unclassified non-coding RNA is filed under the name Mus musculus (house mouse). RNAcentral describes it as "oocyte_clustered_small_RNA12180". The record is from RNAcentral. Lineage: Eukaryota; Metazoa; Chordata; Mammalia; Rodentia; Muridae.